UUCUCAGGCCAGAAAUGCUGAAUUGGGGGACGAUAUGAUUGGUGAAUAAUCCUAGGUGGAUAUAACAGGUGGAUUAAGCGAAAAGAGAUCUUGAAAGGCUUGAAAAGGCUUGGACUCCAUAGGAAAGUGAGUUUGAAGAGAUCGCAUCAAAUCUAGAUUCACAGAUGAACAAUUAGAAAAUACAGAGUUAGCAAAGGAUAUCACGUUUAAAGGAAAACGUUGGCUUACUAAUCGUCCUGACUGAGACUCUUUACCAACAGUUGGUCAUAAAUAUGUACAACGGAAUCAUUUGUAAGACUUUACAUGAAGAACAAAGGCAGGAAGAGAUUGGGCGGGCAAUUUCUCCAAAGAACUACUCUACAUUCGGCACAACACCCAAAUAAUCAUUCAACGAUAUAUUAACAGUCUGUAAAUGGUCAUAGUAAUAUGAUGGUGACAUCUUUAAUGAAUGAAAAAAUAUAGAAUAAUCGAA
Octopus sinensis (East Asian common octopus) is the source of this 472-nucleotide long non-coding RNA. RefSeq lists it as uncharacterized. NCBI's taxonomy places the organism in Eukaryota, Metazoa, Mollusca, Cephalopoda, Octopoda, Octopodidae. The record is from RefSeq and is a predicted model, not a curated record. The transcript has 3 exons.